Danio rerio (zebrafish) is the source of this 1155-nucleotide non-coding RNA. NCBI's taxonomy places the organism in Eukaryota, Metazoa, Chordata, Actinopteri, Cypriniformes, Danionidae. The record is from RefSeq and is a predicted model, not a curated record.
UCUUAGAAGAUAUAUCUGUGUGAUGUCUUAUUUACCAUGGCAACUGUUUGAACAACAGCUUUGAACACAGACAGAGUCAGUGCCAUAUUUUUUCUGGCCAGAUGACUGUAUGAUGCCAUUGUAAGAACCACACGUGAUCGCUCCCUCCAAACCCUUGUUUUGUAUUUCCCAACAAGUCUUGAUUAGUUAGACUGAGUUAAUUGCUGGUGGAUGAAUGUUGUGUGUUACAGCGACAGAUUCCAGCUUCUCCCGGUGCUUCCCCACUGCUGGAGUCGAGCAGCAGAGCCUCGUGCUAAUUCUUCAUUGUGUGUCAGUGAGCAAAUGAAAGAGCUGCUUGUAAUAACCCAUAAAGAGGCUUUUUAUCUGUCCGCGACUCCCGAGUGCUCUCUGUCUUUCUUGCACUUUGUCUUUCUGACAUUUUUUUUUCCCUCUCUCCUUCCAUUUCAGACAGCUUUGCACAGUUUGUCUUUAGAUAAAAUGAAAUGACUUGCUGCGGACGCUGUCAGACUCAGAAGAACAUCUGUCCUGCCUGGAGAUCCUGAUUUCUGACCCCUGCCUGGAGGAGAGCGGCGCUGUGUGCUGUAGAGGGGAGAUAAUGGCCUCUGGCUCCUCAAUCUCUCGCUGUAAUGUGUUUCUGACGCCAGCGAGUGCCUGCGGCCCCUUGGGAGGCACAGGGACGACAUCAUGAUGGAGUGUCAGCAGAAUGAAACGAGAGAAGCCACCCAGAAAGCGAUGACCCGCUGACCCCUGUGGUAAUGCCAGCCUCCAGGCGAGCUGACUUCACACCAGCAGAUGCACACAGCUCUUUCUGUCCUGCUCUUCAGCUGUCCAGGAUCUGGAGCCAUGGAGAGAGAAGAGCUCAAGGACGGGGACAGCAGAGCCGCCGCUGCAGCCCUGCGGGCCUGUUCUGGACUCCACUGUCAGCCAUGAUGGACAGCUGCUGCCCAGGUAUAUCAGGACAAGUGCUUUAUGCGAUAAUGUGGGUGGCUGGUGCCCUGGUUUCUGAUUAUACAUGCACAACAAACCCUCUGCUGUAUGCAAUUAAGUACAAGACCAACAAGAUUAUACAAAUAUAUUCAUAACAGCCUUGGUGUCCACUAUAAUUUAAAAGUGUUAGUGCCCUAUGAAAUCUGUUUUAUUUUUUCAUUAAGUUAA